GAUGAACGCUGGCGGCGUGCCUAAUACAUGCAAGUCGAGCGAACAGACGAGGAGCUUGCUCCUCUGAUGUUAGCGGCGGACGGGUGAGUAACACGUGGAUAACCUACCUAUAAGACUGGGAUAACUUCGGGAAACCGGAGCUAAUACCGGAUAACAUGUUGAACCGCAUGGUUCAACAGUGAAAGACGGUCUUGCUGUCACUUAUAGAUGGAUCCGCGCCGCAUUAGCUAGUUGGUAAGGUAACGGCUUACCAAGGCAACGAUGCGUAGCCGACCUGAGAGGGUGAUCGGCCACACUGGAACUGAGACACGGUCCAGACUCCUACGGGAGGCAGCAGUGGGGAAUCUUCCGCAAUGGGCGAAAGCCUGACGGAGCAGCGCCGCGUGAGUGAAGAAGGUCUUCGGAUCGUAAAGCUCUGUUAUUAGGGAAGAACAAAUGUGUAAGUAACUAUGCACGUCUUGACGGUACCUAAUCAGAAAGCCACGGCUAACUACGUG
Molecule: ribosomal RNA, 497 nt
Filed under: uncultured bacterium
Lineage: Bacteria
Description: partial 16S ribosomal RNA
Rfam family: Bacterial small subunit ribosomal RNA
Source: RNAcentral